UUGGACGUAUCAUUUGGACCCAUCCUCUUCUUUCACUUUAGAUAUGGGCCUUUUGAAUCCAUAAAGGCUUUUUCACCCAAUGCAUACUGGGGUCUUUCUCUACUGCUCUUGGUAUCGGCUUUUUGAUAUGCUUCUACUGGUGCUUAUGGAGAACUUGCUGGAUCGAACCUAAGGAUAGGUUUCAUCGGCCUGGCCUCGGAGGGGAGAUCCUCCUAAACCGAGUCGCG
This 227-nucleotide long non-coding RNA is filed under the name Musa acuminata (dwarf banana). RNAcentral describes it as "long non-coding RNA (MACU_LNC007089)". Lineage: Eukaryota; Viridiplantae; Streptophyta; Magnoliopsida; Zingiberales; Musaceae. The record is from RNAcentral.